Molecule: microRNA precursor, 157 nt
Filed under: Asparagus officinalis (garden asparagus)
Lineage: Eukaryota; Viridiplantae; Streptophyta; Magnoliopsida; Asparagales; Asparagaceae
Description: miR2275b stem-loop (aof-MIR2275b)
Source: miRBase by way of RNAcentral
UUAACUCUUGGAGCAUGCAAUUUUGUCUGGUUUCCUCCAAUAUCUCACCUUCAACUGCUCAACUAUUUGCAUAAUCAAGAAUAUAAAUUGUGUGUGGUGGUAUUGAAUGUGAGAAUUGGUGGAAACUGAACUUGUAUGUCUGCUAAUAUUGGUAUUA